UGAGGUGCAGCUCAGUGGUAGAGUGCUUGCCUAGCAGGCACGAGUCCUGGGUUCCAUCCCCAACACUGCAA
Molecule: transfer RNA, 71 nt
Filed under: Marmota marmota marmota (Alpine marmot)
Lineage: Eukaryota; Metazoa; Chordata; Mammalia; Rodentia; Sciuridae
Also listed under: 1 other name
Rfam family: tRNA
About the family: Transfer RNA (tRNA) molecules are approximately 80 nucleotides in length. Their secondary structure includes four short double-helical elements and three loops (D, anti-codon, and T loops).
Source: Rfam by way of RNAcentral